RNA transcript from Humulus lupulus (European hop), 4330 nucleotides. It is a transcript of the gene named putative disease resistance protein RGA3, with no coding region annotated. The record is from RefSeq and is a predicted model, not a curated record. The transcript is spliced from 3 exons. Lineage: Eukaryota; Viridiplantae; Streptophyta; Magnoliopsida; Rosales; Cannabaceae.
AUUCCAAUAAUAGAGGCAAGGAAGGGAAGAAGAGGAAGUUCAACUCGUCUCAACUCAACUCAACUCAGCCCAGCUCAGUUCAGCUCGCCUCUCUUCCGAUUUCAGUGUAUAUGCUUGGAUCGAUUCGAUGGGUUCUUCUUCAGUUGUACGGAAUACUGGCUCACUAUGGGAUGCAAUCAUGGAGUUCAAGGAUCUGGAAGAUACAAUUUUAGAGGUAAAAGAUGCGUUGCUUCUUCAUUCAGAGAAGGAACUACUUGAAAGUGAUAUAGUCAAGGAUCUGCUUAUGUUCGUCGAAGAUGUACUGUAUCGAGGUGGUGAUUUGGCAGACGAAAUCUUCCCCAUGGCUAUGCAAAGACGAAACAUUAUGUGGACCAAAAAGGUACGAUUUUUCUUCUCAACUCCAUUAAAGCCACUUAUUUAUCGGCGAAGAUUGUCUUUAGUUAUCAAAGAAAUGAGGACGUUGUAUUGGAUUUCAAAGUUCGUGUUGGGGGAAGGGGAAGGGGAAGGGGAAGGGGAGUGGGAGGGGGAUGAGCUCCGCCAUUUCCGUCAAGGGGAGUUUGGAGGGAUCAUGGGGGAGAAGAAGAAGAAGGCUCCUUCUUGUGUACCUAAAGAGCUUAUUGGGAGGGAAGCUGAAGUAGAAUCAAUCAUAGCAGAGUUGUUGAAAGACCAUAUUCAAGAAGAGAGUAUAUUGGUCAUUCCCAUUGUGGGUAUUGCGGGAUUAGGAAAAACUGCACUUGCCCAAUUCAUUUUCAAUGAUAAGAAGGUUCAACAACAUUUUGAACUUAAAAUCUGGGUGUCGGUUUCUGAUGUGUUUGAUUUCAAAGAAAUUGUGGAGAAGAUUAUUGUAUCUAUAACCAAAAAUUACCCAGAAAAUGGCCUUGCUCUUCACAAAUUGCAAGACAUUCUUCGUCAAAGAAUACAAGGAAAGCAUUAUCUCCUCAUUCUCGACGGUGUGUGUGAUGGGCUUACAAAUAUAUGGCCAGAUCUACGAAACUUGUUAUCAGGUGGGUCAAAUGGAAGCCGAAUAAUUGUAACCACUCGUAGUAGUGACACAGUUGCUAAGAUUAUUGAUGGUGGUAAGCUGUCGUUUAACUUGGAUUCUCUAAAUGAAGAUGAUUCGUGGUCCCUAUUCAUGAAAAUGGCAUUUGCGCCAGGACAACAGCCAACUGACACCAUAAGUAUGGAUAUUGCAAGAAAGAUUGUAAAAGGUUGUAGGGGCAUCCCUAUGCUCAUAAGGACUAUAGGAAGAAGAAUGUCUGACAUUGAAGAAGUAAAAUGGCAAUCAUUCUAUGAUAAUAAGCUGACGAAGGUACUUCAAAAUGAAGAUGGUGUGUCAGCUUGUCUUCGGUUAAGUUAUGAUAAUCUGUCACCUCCUUUGAAAAACUGUGUCGUUUUUUGUGGACUCUUUCCUAAAGAUUAUGAAUUUGAGGUAGCAACACUUAUAACUAUGUGGAUAUCACAAGGAUUUAUAGUCCGACCCCCACAUUUGCAACAAAGUCUUGAGGAUUUGGGAUAUGCGAAUUUUUUGGAUCUACUUAGCAGAUCGUUUUUUCACGAUACUGAUGAGAAUGACACGAGCGAGAAUAUAACAAAAUGCAAAAUGCAAACUUUAAUGCAUGAUCUUGCAAGAUCAGUAGCUGGAAAUGCAUAUGCAACAUUUCAUUUGAAUGAUAAAGAUAUUUUUGAUGAACCUCGCCAUAUCUCAUUUCAUUUUCAUUUUGAUUCAUCCCAGAAGAUUCCACUUCCAUUGGCUCGAUUGAAAAGAAUUCGGACUUUGAUUUUGCCUAGGCAAUUUGAAAGUGAUUUUGAAAGGAAAUCAAAUAAGCCAAUUUGGAAUGGAUUUAUAGAACUCAAGCUCUUGCGGAUGUUGGAUUUGCAUAAUUCAGGAAUUCAGUUCUUACCAAGUUCUAUUGGAGAGUUGGUGCAUCUGAGGUAUCUUGAUCUUUCUCAGAAUGUAAAUAUGAAGACAUUGCCAAAUUCUAUUAGUAGACUGCGAAAUCUGCAAACUCUGAAAGUCAAUCAUUGCAGUAAUCUCCAAACACUUCCUAGAGGCAUUACAAAGUUAGUCCGCCUGAGAAAUCUUGAAAACGAGUCCUGUUAUUGUUUGACUCAUAUGCCAAGAGGACUGAGUCGACUAGUUAAUCUUCGCACAGUUUCAGAAUUUGUUUUGAGCAACGGCACUGACUUGGUCUCUAACAAAAGUGGCAAGCUGGACGAACUAAAAGAAUUAGAUCACUUGAGAGGGCAGCUCAAAAUUAAAAAUUUGAAGUUUCCAAAAGGUGAUAAGACAGUCGAAGCAAGGUUGCUCAAGAAACUUCAGCUUUCUUCUUUAAUAUUGAUUUGGGAUAUAGAUGAUGCUGUUAGUCCGGUUGAUUGUGAAAAGUCACUGGAAGAUCUUCAGCCGCAUUCAAAUCUUAAAAAGCUGUCGUUAUCUGCCUAUGUUGGGUUCCAGUUUCCAAAUUGGCUUUCGGUUCUUACAAAUCUAGUUGAACUAUCCUUAUUGAACUGCAUAAAUUGCCAAUGCCUACCACAGCUGGAUUGCUUCCCUCGUCUUAGAGUACUGGUGAUGGACAAGUUGACAAAUCUCGAAUACAUUUCGAACAAACAAAUCAGGAAUGAAAGUUUAACAUGUCUUCCAUCCUUGAGAGAGCUUCGACUUACAGACCUGCCAAAACUGGAGAGUUGGUGGAACGAUGCAAGUGACACUAAUGAAGAAAUGACUGUGUUUCCUCUUCUUUCAAAAUUGAUUGUCGAAGAUUGCCCAAAUCUGACUUCCAUGCCUCUGUUCCCAUUUCUUGAAGAACUACUAGUGCUGAAAAACACUAGUUGGAAGCCAUUCCAACGGACUAUCUCAGCAUUAAAGAGAAGUCCAAGUACUACGGAAAUUGAAGUAUCUUCGUCAUCAUCAUCAAAAUUUUCCGCAUUUGCCCCUCUCUCUGCAUUGGAGACUCUACAUAUCCUUCAUAUGCCCAAUGGUGAGCCAAAUAUGUGGCAGGCCCUUCGCAGCCUCCGUUCUUUGAUGUUUCAUCAUAUUGUUGAUAUUAAUUAUCUCCUUGAAGGACUUGAUCAAGUCACCAGCCUUCAAAAACUCCAUAUUUGGCACUGUGAUAGUUUGAAGGAAAUUCCAAAUUGGAUAAGCAACCCUGUAUCACUUAAGACAAUUUCUAUAAAGGCUUGCCCCAAUUUGACAAUACGGCCUGAUAGAAUGAGCUUCAUCACUUCCUUGAAAGUGGAGAUUGAGGACUGCCCUGGAGUUUCUUACAUCGAAACUAUGCUUAAAGAUCAGUUGUACACACGUUAAACCAAAAUCCUCUGCUUGCUCAGGCCCGACUAAAAUAUAUCUGAUGGGAUUGUAAGGAAAUGGCUGUCAUGGCCAGGAUGAUGAUAUUGCUGCAUUUGCUUGUUCCAUUGAUCACUGCAAAAAGAAAGGAGUGUGACAUCAAGAGUGUGGAGUGUAGCUCAGUGGCAGAAAGAAUAAAGCUCACAGUUGAUUUUCUGAGUACUAUUGAACAACUAGUUCUGGAAAACAUUUGUUGGGAGCCAUUUCAUGACCUUCCAAAUAUUGUUACAUCCCCAUAUUUGGCUCUUUGGUAGCAAUCAAGCUAUGCCCCAAUUUGACAGUAGCCCCUGACCUUGAGAGAAUUAGCCUAAUCGCUUCUUUGAAGAACGUGGAGAUUGAGGCCUGCCCCUCGUGUCAUUCACUGAAACAAUGCAUGCAUGCUAAAGAUCGGUUAUAUAUGUAAGGGAUCAUUCAGAAUCUCCUGCUUGUUCAGGUUUAGUAUUACUGAUUAUUUUGCUUUGAACAUUUUUAUUAGCAAUAUGUCUGAUAUACAUCUUUGUACUAUGCUAUAUACGACUGUGACAGUGGUAAGCAUCCAAUUAUUUGACCUUUGUAUCAAUGAAUAUAUUUCAGCUUCAGAAGCAAAGAUCAUAUUAAUUGACACCAAAAGACAUCAUUUGGUAAACCCAAGAAAUUUAAGCUUGAUUGUUGGUGUUAUCUGUAGAAUCUAGAAAGGUGUGGAAUCUUUAAAAUUUUCCAAGAGAAUUUAGUCAUUCAAACUUUGGAUUCAGGCUUUCUCUAAACCAUGUAAACAUUGAAGAUUAAUAGUGAUUGAGGUGGGCUGGCUGCAGUGGGCAAAGGCAGAGGGCUGGUGGUCGAUCGGACUCUGCUGUUGAGGUUCAAGCCUUGGUGGCCGGAAAAGUCCCUCCUGAUUGGUUUUCCUGGAGUGCUUCUGAAAUUCUGAAUUUAGUUUCUUCUUUUCAGUAUUGUAAGUUUUAUCAUAUUAAUAGACAAUCAAAUGUAGUUGCUUAUGGCUUCUGGUUUUUGUAA